GAGUCGAGGUACUGCGGCACGAACAGCGUCUUGGGCUCCAUGGUGAUGAAGCCGAUGUGCAUGAGCCCCUCGCGGCAGGCGAAGGACGCCGGCGGCCACGGCUGGCCGCGCACCACGCGCACCUGCCCGCCCUCCGACUCCACCACCUUCUCCACCCGGUGCAGCAGGAACAGCCCCCUCCCUUUGCCUUUGCCCUUCUCUUCCUCCUCGCUCGGCCUCCACUCCCCCUCGCCCUCCUCCCACCAGCCCCCGCCGCGCCGUGACGCCGCCGCCGAGCACCGCGAGAGGAGCAGCAGGAGGAGGACGAGCAGCGGCGGCGCCAUCACAGUGAGGCGAUCCAUAUUCACGCGCCUAGCUGGCUUCUUCCAAGAUUAAAACUUGCUAGAUCGCUUGCACUAGCUCUCUGGUCAGCUGUG
This 416-nucleotide long non-coding RNA is filed under the name Zea mays. RNAcentral describes it as "long non-coding RNA (ZMAY_LNC001210)". The record is from RNAcentral. Lineage: Eukaryota; Viridiplantae; Streptophyta; Magnoliopsida; Poales; Poaceae.